ACUUAGCGGCGAUGGGUGAGUAACACGUACUUAACGUACCUUCUAGAUUGGGAUAACGCUGAGAAAUUAGCGCUAAUACCGGAUACUUAUAAGAAACGCAUGUUUCUUAUAUAAAAGGAGCCCUCAAGCUCCACUAGAAGAUCGGGGUGCGGAACAUUAGCUAGUUGGUAAGGUAAUGGCUUACCAAGGCUAUGAUGUUUAACGGGGUUGAGAGACUGAUCCGUCACACUGGGACUGAGAUACGGCCCAGACUCCUACGGGAGGCAGCAGUAGGGAAUUUUCCACAAUGGGCGAAAGCCUGAUGGAGCGACACAGCGUGCAGGAUGAAGGCCUUCGGGUUGUAAACUGCUGUUAUUUAGGAUGAAAAAAUAGUAGAGGAAAUGCUAUUAUCUUGACAGUACUAAAUCAGAAAGCAACGGCUAACUAUGUGCCMGCAGCCGCGGUAAUACAUAGGUUGCAAGCGUUAUCCGGAAUUAUUGGGCGUAAAGCGUCUGUAGGUUGUUAGUUAAGUCUGGCGUCAAAACUUGGGGCUCAACCCCAAAUCGCGUUGGAUACUGGCUAACUAGAAUUGUGUAGAGGUUAACGGAAUUCCUUGUGAAGCGGUGAAAUGCGUAGAUAUAAGGAAGAACMUCAACUUGGCGAAGGCAGUUAACUGGGCACAUAUUGACACUGAGAGACGAAAGCGUGGGGAGCAAACAGGAUUAGAUACCCUGGUAGUCCACGCCGUAAACGAUGAUGAUUAGCUGAUGGGAACCAUCGGCGCAGCUAACGCAUUAAAUCAUCCGCCUGAGUAGUAUGCUCGCAAGAGUGAAACUUAAAGGAAUUGACGGGGAUCCGCACAAGCGGUGGAGCAUGUGGUUUAAUUUGAAGAUACGCGUAGAACCUUACCCACUCUUGACAUCUUCUGCAAAGCUA
Molecule: ribosomal RNA, 915 nt
Filed under: uncultured Mycoplasma sp.
Lineage: Bacteria; Bacillati; Mycoplasmatota; Mollicutes; Mycoplasmatales; Mycoplasmataceae
Description: bacterial SSU rRNA
Source: RNAcentral